Long non-coding RNA from Triticum aestivum (bread wheat), 4127 nucleotides. RefSeq lists it as uncharacterized. NCBI's taxonomy places the organism in Eukaryota, Viridiplantae, Streptophyta, Magnoliopsida, Poales, Poaceae. The record is from RefSeq and is a predicted model, not a curated record. The transcript is spliced from 6 exons.
CUGCGACCUCUCUCUUUCCUCGUCUCCCGCUCCACCGCCGCCGCCCCAUCUCCCGCUCCACCGCCGCCGCCCCAUCUCCCGUCUCCAGUCGCAGCCGCCGCCGCACCCCAAUCCAACCCCGCCGCCGACGAUCUCCUCGCCCCCCCUGCGCCGCCGCCCCCAACCUUCUAUUCCUCUCCCAAGGGAAUCCCAUGGGAAGGGAAGGGAAGGCAAGGGAAGGGAAGGAAGGAAGAGGGAGCGCCCAGAUCCACGGCGGCAUCAGCGCGCCGUCGUCGACCUGAUCCGCGUCCGUCCUCGAGGGAGGUCUGCCAUGGAGGUCCGACCCGGCCCGGCAGCAGCCAUGGACGGACGGAGACGCCCCAAACCCUACCCUCAAGGACGACGCCUCAACCUUCAAGGACGCGCGCCGGCGACCGCGGAUCUCCGGUGAUGGCUAUGGAUGACUGCCCCUCUGGACGAACGACCUGCAGAUGCAGCAACGCACGAGUCCUCCCUCCCUCCCUCAUGGCUCUGCUUCCUCCUACCCUGCCCCCCUCACGUGGGCGUGGUCCCACAAAUAGAAGCGUUGCUCAUAUGCUCCUGAAUCAAGUUUGCAGUAUGAUGGAGUUUACAGAAUUGAGAAUUGUUACAUAAAGAUUGGUGUUCAGGCACUGUGGAGCACAGGGAAGGAGGACAAGGAUGAAGGAUUUAGUCUGUCUAAAUCAUGGGCAGAUCGGGCACUGUGGAGCACAGGGAAGGAGGACAAGGAUGAAGGAUGGGAUGUGUGUAGAAUUUGGCGCCAAGGGAGAUGAUCGAGAUGGUGGAGGAGACACCACUCAAGCCCAUCGAUCCAAUUGCCGCACAUAAACCUGCUGAGCCGACAUCGACGCCAAGUGUGGCGAUGCCACUUCCGAUGAUCGGGAGGGUUCAUUCCAGCUCAUUGUGGUAAUCUGCAGAAAUCAAGUUAACAAAUCUUAAUUGAAGUAUAUGUUUCUAAAUUUUCGGUGGUGAUUUUUUUGUGACUAGACGAAAUCAAAACUGAAGUAUGUAUUCUGAAUUUUGCUCAUAUGACUAGAUGCAUAUGAACUGAAGCUCCGUCAUUCUUUCUAAGGUGAUAGUGGUCGCAACCAGUUAAGAUUAGGGGCUUUAAAGGAACUAUAAAAAAUAUGUGAACUGCUGGCAAUGUCGAUGUAAACACGGGCAUUUAACCAACAAAUUUUGAUUUAACUAUAACUAUCUGUUGACACAAGGCUAAAAAAGAGUAGAAUUGAUCUGUAAGCAAUUCUUCUUGAGAUAGAGACUUUCUGGGUAGUUUGCUACAAGUAUAUAACCUGGAACUUCAGUUCGAGAUAUACAACCGGCAAUCUGAGAUCACUAUGACAAUCUAGAUAGGUUAGCAAAAUCUCUUAGGCGGUGAGACUUAUGCAAGUAGCUAAGACUACAAAUAGAUGAGUGUUGGCCAUGAUUAGCAGCACCACAUCAGGAGGGCAUUCGUCCUAGAAGUGUGGUCAGGGCCGACUGGGGAUGAUUAUUUUUUCGUGGGCAAGGUAUGAUUGAACACAGGUGAGUGUCUUCUCAACUUGGUGUUGCUUCUAAUGUGUUGGACACUGAUCCAAUUUUGCGGCGAGCUGAGAUGCAUCUUUGAAAAUCUCUUGAGAGGUGUGAAUUAGUCCAAGCCUAUGCAGAAUGCCUACAUAUGCCACUUGAACUUUGGAGGGGUAGACUGAUGGAUCGUUGGGCUGGGAUGAAGUUACAUAUAGUGUGUUUUGUCAUGAGAAGAAAUGCAAACGAAAACACAAUUACAUUACAUUGUUAAUGUAUAUGGUAUGAAAAAAACGGAACUUGUUUUACUAAUUGGAGUGUAAUGUAAUCGACUACACUACAGAACUCAGCACGUGUUGAUUAACCAAAAAGAUAAGGAGAGGCCCCAUAUGCCCCCUGAAGGGCUGUCUCUGCUAUGCCGAUGGAGACCUUGAGGUCAAUGGCAUGUUGGUGGAGACAUGGCAAAGCUGACCGGCUUGUCAUCCCUGUCGUGGCUACAGGAUGGAUCCACCGAGUUUGUGAUUUUUAUGGAAAAAAACAUGAACGUAGCGAUUGCAUCAAUAGAAUAUUUUGGUCCUUUGGUUCCAAAUACCCAUAUUUAGUUGGACAACUGCAAAUUCAGACUAUACUGCUUAUGUGCAGUAUAACGCCCUGACUCCGAACUCUUGAUUUGCUGCCAAGUAACACCAAAUUGUCGCAUGUAUAAUGUUCCAAAAUUGUAGGUGUAGUACUACUUCAGCGAUGAGGAUCUUAUGAUGGGUGAGUGCAUGUUCAAAUUUGUGAACAGGAACAAGGAUGGCUUUGGUAAGUACUGCGCCAUUGUUUUAGGACAUACAUGUAAAAACAACACUCUGAAUCGUGGUGCUCACAAGUUCAGAUUCUUGGUUGUUGUGUAGGGAUGCUCCUGAUCUUAUUUGUUUUGGCAACAUAUCGUAAUCUUACCCAGUUGGAAUAAAGGGACGAGAUUGUUCUUUCAGCAUGACGAUCUACAAUUCAUCAUAUGAAAACCUUUGUACUUGGAUAUUGUUACAGGCUUGGUGGCAGGAAAGUAGAGCUUUAGAUCGAGGUCCAACACACAAAUCCCAACUUGUUUACUAUUGACACUAGCCAUCGGCCCUCUAAUCAUAUCUUAACAUGCUUGCUCUUCAUCUAUUAAAGAUAGAUUCUUGCUUCUUAUUCAUCUCUUUAAAUACCUUUUUUUUCUAAUUUGUAACUCUUCUUACCUAUUUUUGGCAGAGGUACAAUGGUUAUUGACUUGUAUUAUCUAUUUCUGACCCAACAAAUCUAAUAUGCAAGGAUAACAAUAAAAUCAGAAUGAUCAAAAGUCAAAACACAUGUGCAUGCUUCAUGAGUUAUGUAUACUUCUGAAUCUAUUUUUACCUCUACUAUCUGAUAUGUUGAAUAGUGCAUGCUCUGCUCUUGCAUGCCACAUCUGCCUGUACUAUGCUGUUAUUUAUGAUUUCGGGGGACUAAUGUCUUGAUUAUAGGAAGUGGAGAGGAAAACCCCUGAUCAGUAGGGAGUACAUGAUAACGUGGUCCAGCUCACCAUCGUAGGCUGCAGGCUGGUUUGGUAACAAGCGGAGACAAACUAAGGAAAAGGUGCCAACGAUGGAGGUGUGUGUGCGCCCACUUCGCCCAUUUGGGUACACGUGGAAGACCUUGCCACUAAGAGCUUCUUGCAGGGGCAAGAGGUGAACUGACGCUGAGUGUUGUGAUCCGUGGGGAGUAGUGUGAGGUGUCCAGUGAAGGGACAUGAUUCAGGCAAGUAACUGUUACUAUAGGAAAAGUCCCUUUAUACACUGAAGUCCCUUUAAAGUGAUGUGCAUAGCAAAGUAAAAUAGGAAAAGUUUAACCUUUGUUUUAGUUAGCCUUGGCGCAGUGGUAAAGCUGCUGCCUUGUGACCAUGAGGUCACGGGUUCAAGUCCUGGAAACAGCCUCUUACAGAAAUGUAGGGAAAGGCUGCGUACUAUAGACCCAAAGUGGUCGGACCCUUCCCCGACCCUGCGCAAGCGGGAGCUACAUGCACCGGGCUGCCCUUUUUCUCAGCUAUACUAUAUUUGGUUUUCCUUUAUGUUUUCUGAGGUCGCAAAAGCCUUUGUAGCGAUCAAAGAUGAGGAGCAACAAUCAUUGUUAUUGCACCAUGUGUAUUUUUCCUCACUUCUAAAUAAUAAAUUCAAUACGGUAUCAUCUUUCGUGGUAGGUGAGAACCACAUUAUCUGUAAAUUGGGCAAUUUCAUAGAUUUGCAAAGGUUUUAAAAUUGUGCCAAGUGAUGCAACACUAGAUGUUGGACUGCUGUAACAACAAGGAUGCUACAAGAGGUCUUUGUCAAAAAAAAGGAUGCUACAAGAGGUGCUUAAGGAGGCACACACACCUUUGUCGAAGAGGAUAAAAGCGGGAGAGACGACCAAUCCUUACCGUUAUAUAAGUGGAUCAAUAUACAUAGAAGCUACAUGCCAUCAUGUUCAGUACAUAUUUUGGAAUUAAAAAAUGUUUGAUUAGAAUUUUGUUUUUCUGUGACAACGCAUGGGCAUGUAUGUGAUGACCUAGAAGUACUAUAUUUGUGUCUGCAAAAUUAUGGUUACCCAUAAAAUCGUAUGCUUAUUCA